GACGGAGAAUUUGUAGCAAUACGAGUUCUUAGUGGCGAAUGGGUGAGUAACACGUAGGUGACCUGCCCCGAAGUGUGGAAUAACAGUCCGAAAGGAUUGCUAAUACCGCAUGUGGUCCCGGUCUUUAGAAAACCGGGUCUAAAGCAGUAAUGCGCUUCGGGAGGGGCCUGCGGUCCAUCAGCUAGUUGGUAGGGUAACGGCCUACCAAGGCGACGACGGAUAGGGGACCUGAGAGGGUGGCCCCCCACAUUGGCACUGAAACACGGGCCAAACUCCUACGGGAGGCAGCAGUCGGGAAUAUUGGUCAAUGGGCGAAAGCCUGAACCAGCAACGCCGCGUGCACGAUGAAGGCCUUCGGGUCGUAAAGUGCUUUUUAGAGGGAUGAGGAAGGACAGUACCUCUAGAAUAAGUCACGGCUAACUACGUGCCAGCAGCCGCGGUAAAACGUAGGUGACGAGCGUUAUCCGGAAUUACUGGGCGUAAAGCGCGUGCAGGCGGCUUCGCAAGUCGGGCAUGAAAUCUCUCGGCCUAACCGAGAGACGCUGUUCGAUACUGCGGAGCUUGAGGGUAGUAAAAGGUGGCGGAAUUCCGCAUGUAGUGGUGAAAUGCGUAGAGAUGCGGAGGAACACCAGUGGCGAAGGCGGCCACCUAGGCUAUCCCUGACGCUGAAGCGCGAAAGCUAGGGUAGCGAACGGGAUUA
RNAcentral lists this ribosomal RNA (700 nucleotides) under uncultured bacterium. RNAcentral describes it as "bacterial SSU rRNA". It matches the Rfam family "Bacterial small subunit ribosomal RNA", at positions 65 to 780 of the family's 1533-position model. The record is from RNAcentral.